Sebastes umbrosus (honeycomb rockfish) is the source of this 823-nucleotide long non-coding RNA. RefSeq lists it as uncharacterized. Lineage: Eukaryota; Metazoa; Chordata; Actinopteri; Perciformes; Sebastidae. The transcript is spliced from 5 exons. The record is from RefSeq and is a predicted model, not a curated record.
UCUGACUCAGUCUCUUCCUGCCUGCUUUCCUACAUGACCGGUCCUCUCAGCAGCUCAGACCAUCUCUACUCUAGUCAGCAGGACUGUAUCAUGAGUUACAGUGACACUAGUGAAGGUAACUGUGAUGCAGGAUGGUCUUUAGACCUCUGCAGGAGUUUAAGGGUGAAAUGAGAAGAAGAGCAGUCUGCAGAGCUUCAUGCAGAGCUUCUUCAUGCUGAGCACAUGGCCCACAGAGAGGCACCCUGCCUCGGCCCUUGAAGCUCUGACCUCUCAGUAGAUGAUGAGUCUCCUGUGCAGACGAUGGAGAGUCCGAGGACCUGCUGGAGGAGCCAGUCUGGAGCUGGAUGAAUAAAGAUCAGACCAGAGAUGGAUGCAGCGGCCUCCUCGGAGCACUGAUGGAGCUCUACUGGGUUCUCUGGUACUGAGCAGCCUCACCUGGAGCGAGGAGCGGCCUGCAGCCCUGAGGUGGUAACCAGCUGGACUAGAUGAGGACUGCUCUCUAAGGAGCUCGUCCACACACAGACGGGAAGGAGUCGGCGUGACCGGCACCAACUCCUCUGGAAGAAAAGCCCCCAAAAGGACGGGAUUAAUCUUUCAGGAGCUGCAACGUGCGAGUAGGAACUGCUGAAAGAUGAUCCAAGUCCUCCAGGAAACGAAGCGUUACCGGUGUCGACGCGUUCCCAUUCAGAUUGAUAUAAAUAUAAUCGGCCUCUGAAGAGCCGUUUCCUGUCUUUGAUUGUCCAAAGCUUCCCCCCUCUGUUAAAUGGCUUUAACCUUUGACCUGCAGAUUUAUUUAAAUACAAAUAAAUGGUUGACAACACAA